RNAcentral lists this unclassified non-coding RNA (140 nucleotides) under Oryza sativa (Asian cultivated rice). Its description in RNAcentral is "partial microRNA MIR472c-1 precursor". Lineage: Eukaryota; Viridiplantae; Streptophyta; Magnoliopsida; Poales; Poaceae. The record is from RNAcentral.
CUUCCUCCGUUUCACAAUGUAAGUCAUUCUAGCAUUUCCCAUAUUCAUAUUGAUGCUAAUGAAUCUAAUGUCUCUAGAUUCAUUAGCAUCAAUAUGAAUAUAGGAAAUGCUAGAAUGACUUACAUUGUGAAACGGAUGUA